AUCUAUGGCGGGUUGCGCAGGGACUUGUUCGCAAGUGCCGGUUCGUUCUGUCCGGUCCGCCAACCUUGUGCAAUCCGUCACCCAA
RNAcentral lists this non-coding RNA (85 nucleotides) under Pseudomonas sp. M47T1. Lineage: Bacteria; Pseudomonadati; Pseudomonadota; Gammaproteobacteria; Pseudomonadales; Pseudomonadaceae. The record is from RNAcentral.